GGGUUCCCGUACAAUCACCGAAGUUAAGCAACGUCGAGCCUGAUCAGUAUUCAGAUGGGUAGACGCUUGGGAAUAUUGCGUGCUGCAAG
Acanthosepion pharaonis is the source of this 89-nucleotide non-coding RNA. Lineage: Eukaryota; Metazoa; Mollusca; Cephalopoda; Sepiida; Sepiidae. The record is from the annotation of a GenBank genome assembly.